UCCUAACCCUCUACUCCUCUAUAUUUCUCCUCUCCCUCCCUACCUCCCAGCCGCCGCCACCCUCAUCUCCUCUCCCAUCUCAUUCCCGAGCCACCCCCAACUCUCUUCUCCUACCUUUCUCUCCUCCUCCUUGCCAGCCUGCCUCUACCCUCCACGCCAGCCUGUGCCCCUCCCUUCCUCCGUCGAGCAGCGCCGCUCCUCUCUCUUCCACUGUCGCGCGGUGGAGCAGCAGCGGCCGCGCGCGGGGUGAGCAGCAGCAAGCGCGGCCGGAUCCGGCCUCCUUCAGCCCCGCAGCGGCCGGAUCCGGCCUCCCCCGCCGUCAGCCGCGGCGCACAGCCACCGGUGGAGCGCGGAUCCGACGACCUCGACGCUGCCGCCGGGCAGCAGAUCUUCGCCGCCGUGGCGACGAGGCCGGUGCUGCCAUCGACUUCCAGCGGCCGCACUGGAUCCUCGCGCCUCUGCCCGCUGUGUGUGUGCGCCUACGGCAAACCGGCGUUUUGUGAUUUUUUUUUGUGAUUUGUUGUAUGCGAUUCAUAGAUUAGUUCAUCAAUUGGUUUAAUAAAUUGUGGAUUUGUGAUUUGUUGGUUCA
Brachypodium distachyon (stiff brome) is the source of this 589-nucleotide long non-coding RNA. RefSeq lists it as uncharacterized. The transcript has 2 exons. The record is from RefSeq and is a predicted model, not a curated record. Lineage: Eukaryota; Viridiplantae; Streptophyta; Magnoliopsida; Poales; Poaceae.